GAAUCUGGCUUCAGGUCUGGGACAACCACUGGAAACGGUGGCUAAUACCGGAUGUGCCGAAAGGUGAAAGGCUUGCUGCCUGAAGAUGAGCUCGCGUCUGAUUAGCUAGUAGGUGGGGUAAAAGCCUACCUAGGCGACGAUCAGUAGCUGGUCUGAGAGGAUGAUCAGCCACACUGGGACUGAGACACGGCCCAGACUCCUACGGGAGGCAGCAGUGGGGAAUUUUCCGCAAUGGGCGAAAGCCUGACGGAGCAAUACCGCGUGAGGGAGGAAGGCUCUUGGGUCGUAAACCUCUUUUCUCAGGGAAGAACACAAUGACGGUACCUGAGGAAUCAGCAUCGGCUAACUCCGUGCCAGCAGCCGCGGUAAUACGGAGGAUGCAAGCGUUAUCCGGAAUGAUUGGGCGUAAAGCGUCCGCAGGUGGCUAUGUAAGUCUGCUGUUAAAGAGUGAGGCUCAACCUCAUAAGAGCAGUGGAAACUACAUGGCUAGAGUGCGUUCGGGGCAGAGGGAAUUCCUGGUGUAGCGGUGAAAUGCGUAGAGAUCAGGAAGAACACCGGUGGCGAAAGCGCUCUGCUAGGCCGCAACU
This 587-nucleotide ribosomal RNA is filed under the name Nostoc sp. MZ62.2ROOT. RNAcentral describes it as "bacterial SSU rRNA". It matches the Rfam family "Bacterial small subunit ribosomal RNA", at positions 122 to 741 of the family's 1533-position model. The record is from RNAcentral. RNAcentral also lists the same sequence under 1 other name. Lineage: Bacteria; Bacillati; Cyanobacteriota; Cyanophyceae; Nostocales; Nostocaceae.